This 506-nucleotide ribosomal RNA is filed under the name uncultured bacterium. RNAcentral's name for it is "partial 16S ribosomal RNA". It matches the Rfam family "Bacterial small subunit ribosomal RNA", at positions 30 to 523 of the family's 1533-position model. The record is from RNAcentral.
AUUGAACGCUGGCGGCAGGCUUAACACAUGCAAGUCGAGCGGUAACAGAGAGAAGCUUGCUUCUCUGCUGACGAGCGGCGGACGGGUGAGUAAUGCCUAGGAAUCUGCCUAGUAGUGGGGGAUAACUUGCCGAAAGGUAAGCUAAUACCGCAUACGUCCUACGGGAGAAAGGAGGGGACCUUCGGGCCUUUCGCUAUUAGAUGAGCCUAGGUGGGGUUAGGUAGUUGGUGAGGUAAUGGCUCACCAAGACCGCGAUCCGUAACUGGUCUGAGAGGAUGAGCAGUAACACUGGAACUGAGACACGGGCCAGAUUCCUACGGGAGGCAGCAGUGGGGAAUAUUGGACAAUGGGGGGAACCCUGAUCCAGCCAUGCCGCGUGUGUGAAGAAGGUCUUAGGAUUGUAAAGCGCUUUAAGUUGGGAGGAAGAGCAGUUAACUAAUAUUUGACUGUUUUGACGUUACCGACAGAAUAAGCACCGGCUAACUUCGUGCCAGCCGCCGCCGUAA